This 587-nucleotide ribosomal RNA is filed under the name uncultured bacterium. Its description in RNAcentral is "bacterial SSU rRNA". It matches the Rfam family "Bacterial small subunit ribosomal RNA", at positions 298 to 898 of the family's 1533-position model. The record is from RNAcentral.
GGGUGUACGACCACAAUGGGACUGAGACACGGCCCAUACUCCUACGGGAGGCAGCAGUGGGGAAUUUUGUGCAAUGGGCGAAAGCCUGACACAGCGACACCGCGUGAGCGAAGAAGCCCUUUGGGGUGUAAAGCUCUGUCAGCUGGAACGAAACAAAUGACGGUACCAGCAGAGGAAGCAUCGGCUAACUACGUGCCAGCAGCCGCGGUAAGACGUAGGAUGCGAGCGUUGUCCGGAUUUAUUGGGCGUAAAGAGUUCGUAGGCGGUUUGUUAAGUCUGAUGUUAAAGAUCGGGGCUCAACCCUGGGAGUGCAUUGGAUACUGGCAAACUGGAGUGCGGUAGAGGCUAGUGGAAUUCCCAGUGUAGCGGUGAAAUGCGUAGAUAUUGGGAAGAACACCAGUGGCGUAGGCGACUAGCUGGGCCGUAACUGACGCUGAGGAACGAAAGCCAGGGGAGCGAAUGGGAUUAGAUACCCCAGUAGUCCUGGCCGUAAACGAUGGAUACUAGGCGUAGUGGGUAUCGACCCCUACUGUGCCGUAGCUAACGCGAUAAGUAUCCCGCCUGAGUAGUACGGCCGCAAGGUUGAA